GCCUCAGGAAUUGGAUCCAGGCUCCACCCUCUCAGCAAUUAUCUUACCAUGGAUAAUAAAGCUUAGCAUGAAACCUCCGGCCCAAGCUGUAUGCUGGGGAAGGGCCUGCAUGGAGGCUCUCUCGUGGGAGAGGAGUUGCAUUUCCUGUGCUAAGCCUGCUCCUGGCUCAAUCUCUCCCCAGGCUGUGCUGGCUGGAGCUGCUGCCUUCAUUUACGAGAAACGGGGUGGUACAUACUGGGCCCUGCUGAGGACUCUGCUAGCGCUGGCAGCUUUCUCCACAGCCAUCGCUGCCCUCAAACUUUGGAAUGAAGAUUUCCGAUAUGGCUACUCUUAUUACAACAGUGCCUGCCACAUCUCCAGCUCGAGCGACUGGAACACCCCAGCCCCCACUCAGAGUCCAGAAGAAGUCAGAAGGCUACACCUAUGUACCUCCUUCAUGGACAUGCUGAAGGCCUUGUUCAGAACCCUUCAGGCCAUGCUCUUGGGUGUCUGGAUUCUGCUGCUUCUGGCAUCUCUGGCCCCUCUGUGGCUGUACUGCUGGAGAAUAUUCCCAACCAAAGGGGUGAGUCCCUAAGAAAAGAGACCAGAAGGAAAUGUUGGAAGUGAGUGGAAUCUAGCCAUGCCUCUCCUGAUUAUUAGUGCCUGGUGCUUCUGCACCGGCGUCCCUGAAUCUGACUGCUGGAAGAAGAACCAGACUGAGGAAAAGAGGCUCUUCAACAGCCCCAGUUAUCCUGCCCCCAUGACCAUGGCCACAGCCCUGCUCCAGCAGCACUUGCCCAUUCCUUACACCCCUUCCCCAUCCUGCUCCGCUUCAUGUCCCCUCCUGAGUAGUCAUGUGAUAAUAAACUCUCAUGUUAUUGU
Molecule: small RNA, 861 nt
Filed under: Pan troglodytes (chimpanzee)
Lineage: Eukaryota; Metazoa; Chordata; Mammalia; Primates; Hominidae
Description: retained intron
Source: RNAcentral